GCAAAUAACAAAAAGGAUGUCCACGAAUGAAGACAUACCUUCCUUUACUAAUAGAUAAAGAAAGAAAGACUCUACCAAAGGUUAUAUGAUUAAGACCAAUGUGAAAAUAUCGAGAAAAAACAUGGUCUUAUAGGGCUAGGUUUAAACCAGAAUUUAUAGAAAGAUUAACAGAUUCCCUAGGUGUAGCUAAAAGUUCAUUAUCUUCUUAAUUAAAAGAUAGGACCUCGGCUAUAGAAAAGGAUUGGUUUUGACCUAUUGCAAUCAACUCCGGAC
RNAcentral lists this long non-coding RNA (273 nucleotides) under Sorghum bicolor (sorghum). RNAcentral's name for it is "long non-coding RNA (SBIC_LNC008520)". Lineage: Eukaryota; Viridiplantae; Streptophyta; Magnoliopsida; Poales; Poaceae. The record is from RNAcentral.